AGAGUUUGAUCCUGGCUCAGAGCGAACGCUGGCGGCAGGCCUAACACAUGCAAGUCGAACGAACCCUUCGGGGUGAGUGGCGGACGGGUGAGUAACACGUGGGAACGUACCCUUUGGUUCGGAACAACACAGGGAAACUUGUGCUAAUACCGGAUGUGCCCUUCGGGGGAAAGAUUUAUCGCCAUUGGAGCGGCCCGCGUUGGAUUAGCUAGUUGGUGGGGUAAAGGCCCACCAAGGCUCCGAUCCAUAGCUGGUCUGAGAGGAUGAUCAGCCACACUGGGACUGAGACACGGCCCAGACUCCUACGGGAGGCAGCAGUGGGGAAUCUUGCGCAAUGGGCGAAAGCCUGACGCAGCCAUGCCGCGUGAAUGAUGAAGGUCUUAGGAUUGUAAAAUUCUUUCAGCAGGGACGAUAAUGACGGUACCUGCAGAAGAAGCCCCGGCUAACUUCGUGCCAGCAGCCGCGGUAAUACGAAGGGGGCUAGCGUUGCUCGGAUUUACUGGGCGUAAAGGGCGCGUAGGCGGAUCGACAAGUUGGGGGUGAAAUCCCGGGGCUCAACCUCGGAACUGCCUCCAAAACUGCCGGUCUUGAGUUUGGGAGAGGUGUGUGGAACUCCGAGUGUAGAGGUGAAAUUCGUAGAUAUUCGGAAGAACACCAGUGGCGAAGGCGACACACUGGCCCAAUACUGACGCUGAGGCGCGAAAGCGUGGGGAGCAAACAGGAUUAGAUACCCUAGUAGUCC
Molecule: ribosomal RNA, 742 nt
Filed under: uncultured bacterium
Lineage: Bacteria
Description: bacterial SSU rRNA
Rfam family: Bacterial small subunit ribosomal RNA
Source: RNAcentral